This 443-nucleotide ribosomal RNA is filed under the name uncultured bacterium. Its description in RNAcentral is "bacterial SSU rRNA". It matches the Rfam family "Bacterial small subunit ribosomal RNA", at positions 354 to 796 of the family's 1533-position model. The record is from RNAcentral.
GCUAAGAAUCUUCCACAAUGGGCGAAAGCCUGAUGGAGCGACGCCGCGUGCAGGAUGAAGGCCCUUUGGGUUGUAAACUGCUUUUGCAGGGGAAGAGGGUGAGGCAUCAGGCUUCAUUGACGGUACUCUGUGAAUAAGCCCCGGCUAAUUCCGUGCCAGCAGCCGCGGUAAUACGGAAGGGGCGAGCGUUGUUCGGAAUUAUUGGGCGUAAAGGGAGCGCAGGCGGUGUGUCAAGUGGAACUUCUCAGCGACGGGCUCAACCCGUCGAUCGGUUCCAAACUGAUACACUGGAGUCCGCUAGAGGAUACUGGAAUUCCCGGUGUAGGGGUGAAAUCUAUAGAUAUCGGGAGGAACACCAAUGGCGAAGGCAGGUAUCUGGGGCUGGACUGACGCUGAGGCUCGAAAGCCAGGGGAGCAAACGGGAUUAGAUACCCCAGUAGUCC